AUUGAACGCUGGCGGCAUGCUUUACACAUGCAAGUCGAACGGUAACAGGCCGCAAGGUGCUGACGAGUGGCGGACGGGCGAGUAAUGCAUCGGAACGUGACCAGUCGUGGGGGAUAACUUAUCGAAAGAGUAGCUAAUACAGCAUACGAUCUAUGGAUGAGAGCGGGGGACGGUAAGGGCUCGUGCGAUUGGAGGGGGCGAUGUUCGAGUCGGUAGUUGGUGGGGUAAAGGCUCACCAAGCCCAAGACUUGUAGCGGGUCUGGGAGGACGACGGGCCACACGGGGACGGAGACACGGCCCAUACUCCUACGGGAGGCAGCAGUGGGGAAUGUUGGACAAUGGGCGCAAGCCUGAUCCAGCAAUGCCGCGUGCAGGAAGAAGGCCUUCGGGUUGUAAACUGCUUUUGUACGGAACGAAACGGCUCUGGUUAAUACCCGGCGCUAAUGACGGUACCGUAAGAAUAAGCACCGGCUAACUACGUG
This 482-nucleotide ribosomal RNA is filed under the name uncultured bacterium. RNAcentral describes it as "partial 16S ribosomal RNA". It matches the Rfam family "Bacterial small subunit ribosomal RNA", at positions 29 to 507 of the family's 1533-position model. The record is from RNAcentral.